UAAAAUAAUAGCCGCACACCACGCACUUCUCCAUGCCUCUUCUUCAUCUCCGACGGCCGGAAGUUCCGGUGCCCCUUUCACCAACCGUAGCACACCCUCAUACAUUUACAACCCUCCUUCAUUCUAUUUGAUCAAGCCCUCACAAGACCCCAUCUCCCCUUAUCUUGUUCCCACACGCACACCCCUGCACAGUAGAGAUAGAGAGAGAGAGAGAGCAAAGAUAGAACCGGCGACGACCGGAGACGCCGCUCAUGUCCGCAGUGACGGCGUUUUCUCCUUCUCCGAUGGUGAUAAAGCUGUGAAGACGCUGAUUCAGCAACAGAUUUUGAGCGGGUUCGAGCUCGGUUCGGACUUGGGUUCGAAUCACGGAUGUUUCGGGUUUGUUCCGGGUCUCGGUUCAGAAAAGGAAGUAGCAGGACGUGAUUGACCUACCUUGACUGUUAACCAUUUUUAAGAGACCAACCGAGCAAACCAAAGGUGAGUUCACUGCACUUUUCUCAAGCAUGCGUCCCGGUGGUUUGGGACAACUGGUAAACAUUUGGAAGGGAAACAUUGGGUAAAUAACUUAAUCGGUUUUGGUUAUUUCCUGGAGGGCAAUGGGGGUGAUUAGUUGAUAGCGCUAUUAGGUGGGAAACCUCACACCGGGCCGUAAGGACGGGCGUGAACUAAUUAUCUGGGUAUGGCUAUGGUUGUUAGAGGCACACUCCUCGGAUACAUAUGGGCACUCUCCCUAGGGUAUCUAACGAAGGCAACAUAGCAAACGGUCGUUAAGGGGUACCCACUCCCCGGAUACACAUGGGCACACUCCCUAGGGUAUCUAACAUGAGCAACAUCGUAACGCAAUAUUGACUCGCAUUAACUUACAUCUGGUAACUCAACACGUUAACAAAACCUUGAACUCACCAGCGUAGUCUGACACACUUGUUUACAUGCUUGUAGGUAAUUAUUGAAGGAACUUGGGAGCUUGCUGUCUGAUGCUGCUGGAGUGGUUGUGGUCAUAAUAAACAGUUAUUUUGAUUUGGUUUUGAUACAUUUACACACUUAUACAUUUAUGCUUCCGCUCAGUACUUUGGUUUUGGUUUAACUUUCAAACGAUACAUUUCUUUCAAUUGGGUGUUUUAUUACUU
RNAcentral lists this long non-coding RNA (1127 nucleotides) under Helianthus annuus (common sunflower). Its description in RNAcentral is "hypothetical non coding rna". The record is from RNAcentral. Lineage: Eukaryota; Viridiplantae; Streptophyta; Magnoliopsida; Asterales; Asteraceae.